UACGUAGGGGGCUAGUGUUGUCCGGAUUUAUUGGGCGUAAAGAGCGUGUAGGCGGCCAGGUAGGUCUGCUGUGAAAACUCGAGGCUCAACCUCGAGACGUCGGCGGAAACCAUCUGGCUAGAGUCCGGAAGAGGAGAGUGGAAUUCCUGGUGUAGCGGUGAAAUGCGUAGAUAUCAGGAAGAACACCCGUGGCGAAGGCGGCUCUCUGGGACGGUACUGACGCUGAGACGCGAAAGCGUGGGGAGCGAACAGG
RNAcentral lists this ribosomal RNA (253 nucleotides) under uncultured bacterium. RNAcentral's name for it is "partial 16S ribosomal RNA". It matches the Rfam family "Bacterial small subunit ribosomal RNA", at positions 524 to 776 of the family's 1533-position model. The record is from RNAcentral.